GCGGCGCAGGCGCCCAGGCCGGGGCGGGGGCGCGCGCGGCGGGGGCGCGCAGGCCCGGUUCUCUCCACGCGCGCCCCGCCCGCGCCUCCGGAGCCCUGGGCCCCGCCUGUGACGUCCUGAGCGGCCGCCCCGAGGUGGGGGGCUGGCCUUAGGUACCCCCGAAAAGUAAGCCCUUGGACGACCUUAUCGUGCUCCCCCGUGCGCAGAAACAGGUUCUCCCCGCGUCCUGCAGGCCGCAGCACAGUCGCCGGGACGCCUAACAGGUCAGGACAAACGCCACCGGCCUCGGGCCGCCAGGCGCCGCUGCUGUGUCCCCGGCGCCCGCCCGCUCCCGGCGAGCCGGGAUUACGGUCCCGCUUUCAGGGGCGCAGAGGCCACCAGCAGGCGGGAAAGGCGCCUUCCUGCCGCUCUGUCGGCCUGAUUGAGCCUCGGGAGGAUGCCAGUGUGCACGGCUGCCCGGGACCCUUGUCCCCUGGCUUACAGUGGGAGUCACACCAUGGCAGGCGUCGGAACCCUGUCUCAGUAAACAUCAGAGAGGACCGGGUAUGCAUGUAGCUCAGCGGUACAGCGACACAAACAAAGAACCACAAAACGCAAACAAAAAACGUGGAAAGGGAUCCGACGUUGGAGGGUGCGGUAGGGGUUUUGGUCCUCUGACUUCUCCCUUCCUAGCCAAACACCUUUGCCUCCCCAUAGGGGUCCUCCCUCCUGGGCCUGGUGCACUCUCCCCUCUCCUGCCCCGGGAGUGGCAGCGGCUCCCCUCUGCUGCCAUCCGCAGGCUUCCUGCCAAUCCUCCUCCCACUUUUGUGUCAUCUUUAUCAAACCCUCCGAGCAGGAGCCACCUGCUGGAGCCCCGGCGGCUAACUCCAUCCUAGGAAAUUCAAAUUCCCCACGGCUUGAGAGGAAAAUGAAAAGGGACAGCUGAUUGCAAUGAGAUUGUGGUAUGGGCUUGGGAGAGGUCUGACAGACAGAGAGGACUGUGGCCCUGGAGCUAUGGAGGAAGAAAUGGAGAGAGAGAGAGAGAAGGAUUCUGCUUCUAUUGAAAACUGAUAAAUGAGUUAUACAUACAUUUUGAGCAACAGAGAAUUCAUAGAUGGGUGGAAACCAUAUGUGUGGAGCCUGCAUGUGACUUGGGAGGGAAGCAAGGUGGCCGCUGGAACCCAUGGAUUUACACGAGGUGACCAGGCAGGGGGCAAAUAGAACACAGAAAGGCCAAGAGCUGAGUCCAGAAUGGCACGAGUCGUUACCUGCGGGCAAGGGAAGCAUCGCUGUCUCGUCUCUGUCCAGCUAUCAUAUGAGCGACUCCAGCACUGGAGAACAGAAGUGGAGUCUCCCACACCCUCCUUCUCUACCGUCCUGGCCAGCAAGGGUCUUGCUAUGCAGUUCAGGCUGGCCAUGAACUCACUAUGAAGCCCAGCCUGGCCUUGAAUUUGCAGCAAUCUUCCUGCCUCAGCCUUCUGAGUGCUGGGAUUAUAGGCAUGCACCACCACGCCUGGCAGAAUUCACCAUUUAAAAGUGUAGCUCACGGCAUUAAGCACACUCAUGCUGUCCUGCGCCCGUCACCACCACCAGCUCCAAAGCUUUCAUCUUGCAGAACUGAACUAUUACCUCCCCAUCCCCCCUGGCAGCCACACUCUACUCUGCCUGGAAUGGGACCCUUGAGGUCCCUCACCUGAGAGGAAUCAUGCACGGUCUGUCCUCUCGUGUGUGAUCUAUUUCAUAGCCAUAGCAUCUUCAAGGAUCAUUUGUAUUAUAGCGUGUGUCCGAAUUUUAUUCCUUCUUACAGCAGAAUAAUAUUUCAUUAUGUAUAUACCACAUGUUGUUUAUCCAUUUAUCUAUCAAUGGAGACUACCGAUGGACACUUGGGUUGCUUCUCUCUUUUGGUUAUUGUUAAUAAUGGUGGAUAAAUAUCUGCUUUCACUAUUUUGGUGUAUAAAUUCAGAAGCAAAAUUCCUGGAUCAUAUUAUUAUUAUUAUUAUUGAUGGUGUUGGUACUGGGAAUGAACUGUCACAAUGAACUAAUCUCCAACCUUUUUUAUUUUUCGACAUAGAGUCUUGCAAAAUUGUCCCAGCUGGGCUCAGACUUGGAAUCCUCUUGCCUUAACCUCACAGUGAGCUGCGAUUAUGACAUUCACCACUACACCCAGCUAGGGAUGCUAUUUUUCAGUUUGUUGUUGUUUUAGAAAAUAGCAUAGUCUAGGUUGCCCUUAAACUCACUAUGUAGUCCCUGCUGGCCUCAAAUUUGCAGUGAUUCUCCUGCCUCAGCCUCCCGAGUGCUGGAAUUACAGUCAUACGCCGCCACACCAUACCUACUUUUAAAUUCUGAGAAGCAGCAUACUGGUUUCCAUAGUGGCUACAUCAUUUUGAUCCCUGCCAACAGGAGUAUGUUUUCUCCACAUCCUCAACAAUACUUACUCUUUUUGUUGAUGUUGUUAGUUUUUUUGGUGCAGUUGAGAGACAAAGAUAGAGAUUUAACAACAACAAAAAAAGCCUUUAUUGCCUGCAAGGGAGGGCUGCUGAAGAUAGCAAGGGCCCUCAAAGGCGAUAAAACCUGGGGGAGUGGACAGGUCACCUUGUUGGGAGAGGACUGUAGGACUUUUUGACAUAGGGAAUCAAGACUACUUGAGGGAUGGAGUCGGGAGGUGACUGGAGGACCUUUGGCACACGCACAAAAAGGAGACAGAAAGUUUAUUGUUUGGGGACCAGCAGUCGCGUACAGGAGAGCUAGACUGUUGUUUUAGGGGUCAGCGCCAUGUUGGGCAGGCUCCACACUGAGCCUGGCAGAGUCCCACACGAGUGGAGCCUGUCACUUUUCUUUCUUUUUUGUUUUUUGAGAUGAAAAUGUCCUAAAGUUGACUGCAGUGAUGGUUACAUCACUGGACAUGACUUAGAGAGGCUCCCGGAGGAGAGGAAUAACUGCUACCUGCCCUACGCACAGAACAAGUCUUUUGACUUCUGUCACAAAAGAAGAAUCUUCAGGACUAGUCAGUAAGAGGCAUGAAAAAUAUUUAUUCAGAAGAAAAAAGUAUACGCUCAGGAGUAUGGGCACUCAGAGAAUGAGACAUUAUUUUCUGGAGCUCAAAAUAUUUAUCUUUUUAUCUUUUAAACAUUUUUGAGGCAAGGUUUUGCUGUGUAGCUCAGGUUGGCCUCAAACUAGUAGCAGUCCUCUUGCCUUAGCCUUGCAAGUGCUGGGAUUAUAGGCAUGUGCCACUACACCAGCUAAUUUAAAAUAUUUUUACAUACAAUUAUUCUUUGGACUCGUCAGUCUGUUCCCUUAUCUUAAUAUCAGGUUCCUGUCCUUUAUUUUAUUUUUUAAUUAUUUAUUUAUUUGGUGUUUUUGAGACAGGGUCUUGCUAAGCAGUUCAGCCUGGCUUUGGGUUCACUUUGUAGUCCAGGCUGGCCUCAAACUUGCAAUACUCCUCCUGCCUCAGCCUCCCCAGUGCUGGGAUUACAGGAGUGUGCCAUCAUGCCUGGCUCUUUUUUUUUUUUAAAGGGAAUAAAACAGAACAAAACAAAAUAACAAUAUUGGAUUUCAAAAGCAAGAGGUAGGAAACCCCCCAUAGUUACUAUAUUGCAUACUGUUAUCCUCUAAAUAGAUACUCAGAUUACCAGUUUUGGGCCUUCAAAAUUGACCAACAGUACAAGCAUUAAGUUGUUUCUUUCUUUUUUUCUUUUUUUUGGGGGGGGAUCAAACUCAUGACCUUCUGUUUGCCAAGCAGGUGCUUCCGCCACUGAGCUAAAUCCCUGGCCCUUAAUUUGUUUCUUUACUUCAGUGGCUAUCAUCUCAGCCUGUGUUUCUUAAAUCAGCUGGUUGCUUGGGGUGGAAGGGUGCACCAGCUGGCUCACAGGAGGAUGCCCCUGCCUUUUAUCAACUAAGCUAAUUUAUAAAGUAUUUUGAAGGAAUUUGGGGUGUGAUGGACUUGGAAGAAGAGAAGCAUAAACAAAUCCAGUGAGUAGAGACCUUAAUUAUAAUUUUCCUUGUCUCUUUUCUACCUAUCUUUAUUUCUGCUACCCUGUAUCAGUUGCAGCAUCUAUGACUACACUAAAAACCACUGAAAUUCACACUUCAUUUCUGUGAUGCUUUGCAAAAGCUAGGCAAGUGCUCUGGCUACAACCCUGGUCCUAAAUUAUAUGCUUUAAAUGAGUAAAUUAUAAUGUUAUGUGGAUUCUAUCAAUAAAAGCUUUUUAUUUUCCUUAAAA
Molecule: long non-coding RNA, 4199 nt
Organism: Cavia porcellus (domestic guinea pig)
Lineage: Eukaryota; Metazoa; Chordata; Mammalia; Rodentia; Caviidae
Exons: 2
Source: RefSeq, a predicted model, not a curated record